This 395-nucleotide unclassified non-coding RNA is filed under the name uncultured fungus. Its description in RNAcentral is "sequence contains ITS1". The stretch from base 1 to 107 matches the Rfam family "5.8S ribosomal RNA", at positions 49 to 154 of the family's 154-position model. Lineage: Eukaryota; Fungi. The record is from RNAcentral.
UGAAUUGCGAUAACUAAUGUGACUUGCUUUCAUUUGUGAAUCAUUGAAUUUUUGAACGCACCUUGCACUUUUGGAGUCUAUUCAAAAGUAUACCUGUUUGAGUAUCAUAAACAUUUAUCCAAAGGAAAUUAUUUUGUAUUGAAAGAUACAAGGUAUUUGACGGCGGGACUUGAGUGUUCAGUUUCUUAGGAGACUGUCUCUUUAAAUGUAUCUGAAGAAAACUGAGCGAAAUGCGCUUGGCUUUAUAUUGAGGAUAUUUACUCUAGUAGUAAAAUAAUCGAUAGGAAGUCAUGAAAGCAGCGAGCAGCCUUCAAUAAACGCUGAUGGAACUUUAACCUUUCAUUAGCAUGCACAAAUGUGAUCUCAAAUCAGGCAAGACUACCCGCUGAACUUAA